AUUGAACGCUGGCGGCAGGCUUAACACAUGCAAGUCGAGCGGAGAUGAGGUGCUUGCACCUUAUCUUAGCGGCGGACGGGUGAGUAAUGCUUAGGAAUCUGCCUAUUAGUGGGGGACAACAUUCCGAAAGGAAUGCUAAUACCGCAUACGUCCUACGGGAGAAAGCAGGGGAUCUUCGGACCUUGCGCUAAUAGAUGAGCCUAAGUCGGAUUAGCUAGUUGGUGGGGUAAAGGCCUACCAAGGCGACGAUCUGUAGCGGGUCUGGGAGGAUGGUCCGCCACACUGGGACUGAGAAACGGCCCAGACUCCUACGGGAGGCAGCAGUGGGGAAUAUUGGACAAUGGGGGGAACCCUGAUCCAGCCAUGCCGCGUGUGUGAAGAAGGCCUUAUGGUUGUAAAGCACUUUAAGCGAGGAGGAGGCUACUGAGACAAAUACUCCUGGAUAGUGGACGUUACUCGCAGAAUAAGCACCGGCUAACUCUGUGCCAGCAGCCGCCGUAA
This 501-nucleotide ribosomal RNA is filed under the name uncultured bacterium. RNAcentral describes it as "partial 16S ribosomal RNA". It matches the Rfam family "Bacterial small subunit ribosomal RNA", at positions 30 to 523 of the family's 1533-position model. The record is from RNAcentral.